RNAcentral lists this ribosomal RNA (302 nucleotides) under uncultured bacterium. RNAcentral's name for it is "partial 16S ribosomal RNA". It matches the Rfam family "Bacterial small subunit ribosomal RNA", at positions 508 to 809 of the family's 1533-position model. The record is from RNAcentral.
GCAGUAGCCGCGGUAAUACAGAGGGUGCGAGCGUUAAUCGGAUUUACUGGGCGUAAAGCGUGCGUAGGCGGCUUCUUAAGUCGGAUGUGAAAUCCCUGAGCUUAACUUAGGAAUUGCAUUCGAUACUGGGAAGCUAGAGUAUGGGAGAGGAUGGUAGAAUUCCAGGUGUAGCGGUGAAAUGCGUAGAGAUCUGGAGGAAUACCGAUGGCGAAGGCAGCCAUCUGGCCUAAUACUGACGCUGAGGUACGAAAGCAUGGGGAGCAAACAGGAUUAGAUACCCCUGUAGUCCCUGUCUCUUAUAA